Molecule: ribosomal RNA, 502 nt
Filed under: uncultured eukaryote
Lineage: Eukaryota
Description: bacterial SSU rRNA
Rfam family: Eukaryotic small subunit ribosomal RNA
Source: RNAcentral
GUUGCGGUUAAAAAGCUCGUAGUUGGAUUUCUGCGGGAGACGAAGGGUCUACCUUACGGGUAAGUAUCUCUCAGGCUCCUGCAUCCUCAACAGGAACGUCGCUGCGAUUCAUUUCGUGGUACGGUACUGUUGACUUUUACUUUGAGGAAAUUAGAGUGUUCACGGCAAGCAAGCGCGUGUAUACAUUAGCAUGGAAUAAUAAUAUAGGACCUUGGAUCUAUUUUGUUGGUUUCUAGAACUAAGGUAAUGAUAAAUAGGGACAGUUUGGGGGCAUUUGUACUAACGCGUCAGAGGUGGAAUUCUUGGAUUGCGUUAUGACAAACUACUGCGAAAGCAUUUGCCAAGGAUGUUUUCAUUGAUCAAGAACGAAAGUAUGGGGAUCGAAGACGAUUAGAUACCGUCGUAAUCUAUACCAUAAACUAUGCCAACUAGGAAUGAGACGGAUGUAUAUUUUAUGACCCGUUUCGCGCCUUAUGAGAAAUCAAAGUUUUUGGGUUCCGGG